GGAAUAUUGGGCAAUGGAGGCAACUCUGACCCAGCGACGCCGCGUGCGGGAUGAAGGCCUUCGGGCUGUAAACCGCUUUCAGUAGGGGAGAAGCGAAAGUGACGGUACCUACAAAAGAAGCACCGGCUAACUAUGUGCCAGCAGCCGCGGUAAUACAUAGGGUGCAAGCGUUGUCCGGAAUUAUUGGGCGUAAAGAGCUCGUAGGUCGUUUGUUACGUCGGAUGUGAAAACCUGAGGCUCAACCUCAGGCCUGCAUUCGAUACGGGCAAACUAGAGUUUGGUAGGGGAGACUGGAGUUCCUGGUGUAGCGGUGGAAUGCGCAGAUAUCAGGAGGAACACCAAUGGCGAAGGCAGGUCUCUGGGCCAAUACUGACACUGAGGAGCGAAAGUCUGGGGAGCGAACAGGAUUAGAUACCCUGGUAGUCCAGACCGUAAACGGUGGGCACUAGUUGUGGGAACCUUCCACGGUUUCUGCGACGCAGCUAACGCAUUAAGUGCCCCGCCUGGGGAGUACGAUCGCAAGAUUAAAACUCAAAUGAAUUGACGG
Molecule: ribosomal RNA, 547 nt
Filed under: uncultured bacterium
Lineage: Bacteria
Description: bacterial SSU rRNA
Rfam family: Bacterial small subunit ribosomal RNA
Source: RNAcentral